This 1598-nucleotide long non-coding RNA is filed under the name Octopus sinensis (East Asian common octopus). RNAcentral describes it as "uncharacterized LOC118763395". The record is from RNAcentral. Lineage: Eukaryota; Metazoa; Mollusca; Cephalopoda; Octopoda; Octopodidae.
AACUUUUGAAAACAAGACAUUUGUACUACAGAGCCAGAGGUGGUUUUAGCUGGGUUGGUAUUGAAAGGGUUAAUUCAAAACAAUGUGAAUAAACAGGCAUUACGUUUGAGAGAGGAAUCUGAAUGCUGAACAGUUAAACAACCACAUGAUCUUUAGUGUUAGGAAGUUGUCCUCUUUUCACUGCUAAGAUGGAUUCCUUUAGCUGCAUGGAGAUGAUUUUUACUUCUAAAGGUGUGGACUGUAAAUAAUGUUGGUUUAUAACAGCAGUAUUUGGAUUAGUCUAUCAGAUGUAAUACUUAUUUAUUCACAUUGUUUUGAAUUAAUCGUGCAUUAUCUCUUAGUAUCAAAAUGUUGAUGCUGUGAUAGUUUAUCUUUAGAAUGACUUUGCUGAGCAUGUGUGAGAGGCCUAAUCUGACUGGAUUGAACAUAAACAAGUUUAAAUACUAAAGGAUUAAAACAACAGUUAUUUUUAUUUCUUCAAGAUUUUCAGAAUUGGAUUUUAGGUUCUUGUCAAUGGCUUGGCUGUCUUGUGAUGCCAACAAACAGCUUUAUUGAUGAGCAACCAAUAAAACUGUAUUGGUUGGUCAGUAAACCAGCAGUGUCUAUUCUAACAUACAAACUCAUCUUAAUUAAUACUUAAAACUGUAAUUUUGAAAGAAUGGUUUAGUUUUAUAAUUUCUCAAAUGUCAUUAACACUGAACCAUCCAACCACCCACCGUUAACCAUCAUAAACUACCUCUUGUUUAUAGUUCAAUUAUUCCUUCUUCUUUCACCUCUACAUACUUCAGUCAACGCUCUUUCCCAAAACUUAUUCUAUGUCUCACUCCCUACUUUUAAAUAUUUCACAUACCCAUGACAUCCCUGUCUUUUUACCAUUUCCUUAUAACUGAAUUGCACUUUUCCAACACAUCCCAAUGGCUAAUAACACACAACUGAAGCCAAACAUAAUCUGUGUUAAUCUCACUUUUCCACCUUAUCGUUAUAAUCCAUUGUCAGAGUAACAAAUGGUGAUGAUUUCUUGGACGCUUACAUGUGGCAUCGUCAAUGAAAUGUAUUUUGUAUCUUACUGGCUUUACCUUUGUGUGUUCCACUUCAAAUUUUUCUCUUUGUACCAAUGAAGAAAAUCAUUAUUAUUCAUAGUAAAGUCAUGUUUAACCAUUUGACGUUCAGAUUAUUUUGUCAAAUGUAACAUUCUUUUCUUCCACGUUGUUUUUAAUAAAUCAUGCAUUAUUUUGUAGCCUUGAAAUUUUGAUAAUGUGAUUGUGUUUUUAGAAUGUCAUUGAAGAGUUGGUGUGAUAGGCUGGAUCUGGCUGGCUUCAAAAUGUAAAACGGGUAGCAUAUUUGAGCCUGACUGGUUUAAAUACUAAAUGGUUAACACAUUCCAGUGUAACUGCAACAUGGUAAGAGCCAUUUUACUACAGGAAUAGUGAGCAGAGAAAAUUCUCCACUGGAUUUGUGUAAAUACAUUGAACUAAGAAACCAACUCAGUCUCAACUGAGCAGGUUUAAGUGACUGAUGAAGUGCAAAGAUGCAGAAAUCCAUGUGUCCUACAAUCAAAUCUGUAUUAUAGCCCAAAAUACAAUGUGUAUUUAUAUACA